This is a long non-coding RNA of Polyodon spathula (Mississippi paddlefish), 169 nucleotides long. RefSeq lists it as uncharacterized. The record is from RefSeq and is a predicted model, not a curated record. The transcript is spliced from 3 exons. Lineage: Eukaryota; Metazoa; Chordata; Actinopteri; Acipenseriformes; Polyodontidae.
ACAGGUUAAAAGUCCCAUUCCAGGAUCAACCACAGAUAUGUAGUAUUCUGUGGUGAUUUUACCGCACUGCAGUCCACGGUUACUUUCCAGGACACGCUCUCAGUACCAGCACCCUCUGCUGAAAGACUUCCUCGAUGCAGCCCAAGGCCCAGCCGUCAGUAGCCCUGAU